Molecule: non-coding RNA, 756 nt
Organism: Macaca mulatta (Rhesus monkey)
Lineage: Eukaryota; Metazoa; Chordata; Mammalia; Primates; Cercopithecidae
Source: RefSeq, a predicted model, not a curated record
AUUAAUAUUCUUUCACAAUUGUAUUUUCAGCAUGGUGAUAGUGAUUAUGUGACCGUUUGGUCUAAAGGUUACAGAAUGACAAAAAACAGGCGUAGAUGAUUUCAUAAGAAACUUAGCGAAGAAAUGGAUAUCACCUAGAGACAGGUUUUUAAGACUGGCAGUCAGCUUCUGAGGAAGCCUGGCCAAUUUAUCAUUGCUAAACUUGACAUUAAGUUGCUAUCUUCUCGGGGAACAUUUGAGACUGUACAUAUGGUGGUUGAAUUAUAUUAAGGGUGGGACUCUUUUAACCUUCAGAAACAAGAUGAAGGUUGCUUGUGUCAAGCACAUUGCAUGUGCGACACAAAGGAAAUCAGGCCAUGAGCUAGGAGAGUCCACAAGGAGGUUCUCUUAUGAGGUUGGUAGUUCAGUUGCCAUGACCUCUGUUACUGAGACAGCAAAGACAAGGAAGCUCAGCUCAGCCUUUUUCUUGUGUGGGCAUCUGGACACAGGAUGCUGCUGCCCUUUCCAUUCUUCUCUCUCAUUUUCUGGUAUUUCGUUUUCAGAAAAGACCAUACUACAUACUCAUUCUACUUACAAGGUUGCUGCCUGCAAAGCGGAAUAGUGGAGGUUUCAAGAAAUUUGAAAGUUUCAUGAUCCCUGGUUGCAGCGAACACUAUUGAUAUUGUCAGUAUACCUUUAAAAAUGUGAUUAUACUGAAUACAUGAACUUUAAUGACCUGCUAUGUACAACUGCUUAAAGGAGUGGCUUUUGAGUGAA